GGCAGCAGUCCUUAAGGAAGAAUUCAACAUUGAUUUACGUGUCAUGGGAAUUACUGGCUCAAGGAGAAUGCUUUUAAGUGAAGUGUAAGCCUUAAGCUUCAUGCUUGCAUAUGAAGUUCUUGCCCGUAUGACAUGAUGAAGGGACCACUAUUUGCUUUAUUUGGGAAAUCAUCUAACCAAAUAAUAUACCCCACAUGGAUUAUAUUAGCCAUAUAAAAUCAAGGAAUGAGCCUUCAAGGAUGUGCUAAAGUAGUAGGCCUAAUGCAAAUUGUUAUGAUACUUUGAAUAUUACUGCAAAAUUAGAAGUUCAAAUGUGGGAGAGCUGCUGUGAAAAAAGGCAUUAAACAUUAUGAGGGUGGGUUUUUGUUUGCUGGUUUUACAAUCCCGCAAGUGCAUGGAUCGCUAACA
This 408-nucleotide unclassified non-coding RNA is filed under the name Hevea brasiliensis (rubber tree). Lineage: Eukaryota; Viridiplantae; Streptophyta; Magnoliopsida; Malpighiales; Euphorbiaceae. The record is from RNAcentral.